GAUGAACGCUAGCGGCAGGCCUAAUACAUGCAAGUCGAACGGUAACAUUGGUGCUUGCACCAGAUGACGAGUGGCGCACGGGUGCGUAACGCGUAUGCAACCUACCUUUUACUAGAGUAUAGCCCAGAGAAAUUUGGAUUAAUCCUCUAUAACAUCUUUUAAUUUCAUGAUUUUAAGAUUAAAGUUUUAACGGUAAAAGAUGGGCAUGCGUCCUAUUAGUUUGUAGGUGAGGUAACGGCUCACCUAGACUACGAUAGGUAGGGGCCCUGAGAGGGGGAUCCCCCACACUGGUACUGAGACACGGACCAGACUCCUACGGGAGGCAGCAGUAAGGAAUAUUGGACAAUGGACGAAAGUCUGAUCCAGCCAUGCCGCGUGCAGGAUGACAGCCCUACGGGUUGUAAACUGCUUUUAUACAGGAAGAAACACUCCGACGUGUCGGAGCUUGACGGUACUGUAAGAAUAAGGAUCGGCUAACUCCGUG
Molecule: ribosomal RNA, 484 nt
Filed under: uncultured bacterium
Lineage: Bacteria
Description: bacterial SSU rRNA
Rfam family: Bacterial small subunit ribosomal RNA
Source: RNAcentral